UUGUCCGGAAUUACUGGGCGUAAAGCGCCCGUAGGCGGAUUGGUCAGUCAGGGGUGAAAUCCCGGGGCUCAACCCCGGAACUGCCUUUGAAACUGCUGGUCUGGAGGUCGAGAGAGGAGAGUGGAAUUCCGAGUGUAGAGGUGAAAUUCGUAGAUAUUCGGAGGAACACCAGUGGCGAAGGCGGCUCGCUGGCUCGAUACUGACGCUGAGGUGCGAAAGCGUGGGGAGCAAACAGG
This 236-nucleotide ribosomal RNA is filed under the name uncultured bacterium. RNAcentral describes it as "partial 16S ribosomal RNA". It matches the Rfam family "Bacterial small subunit ribosomal RNA", at positions 541 to 776 of the family's 1533-position model. The record is from RNAcentral.